Molecule: ribosomal RNA, 1346 nt
Filed under: uncultured bacterium
Lineage: Bacteria
Description: partial 16S ribosomal RNA
Rfam family: Bacterial small subunit ribosomal RNA
Source: RNAcentral
GACGAACGCUGGCGGCGUGCUUAACACAUGCAAGUCGAACGGAAAGGCCCUGCUUUUGUGGGGUGCUCGAGUGGCGAACGGGUGAGUAACACGUGAGUAACCUGCCCUUGACUUUGGGAUAACCUCAGGAAACUGGGGCUAAUACCGGAUAGGAGCUCCUGCUGCAUGGUGGGGGUUGGAAAGUUUCGGCGGUUGGGGAUGGACUCGCGGCUUAUCAGCUUGUUGGUGGGGUAGUGGCUUACCAAGGCUUUGACGGGUAGCCGGCCUGAGAGGGUGACCGGCCACAUUGGGACUGAGAUACGGCCCAGACUCCUACGGGAGGCAGCAGUGGGGAAUAUUGCACAAUGGGCGGAAGCCUGAUGCAGCAACGCCGCGUGCGGGAUGACGGCCUUCGGGUUGUAAACCGCUUUCGCCUGUGACGAAGCGUGAGUGACGGUAAUGGGUGAAGAAGCACCGGCUAACUACGUGCCAGCAGCCGCGGUGAUACGUAGGGUGCGAGCGUUGUCCGGAUUUAUUGGGCGUAAAGGGCUCGUAGGUGGUUGAUCGCGUCGGAAGUGUAAUCUUGGGGCUUAACCCUGAGCGUGCUUUCGAUACGGGUUGACUUGAGGAAGGUAGGGGAGAAUGGAAUUCCUGGUGGAGCGGUGGAAUGCGCAGAUAUCAGGAGGAACACCAGUGGCGAAGGCGGUUCUCUGGGCCUUUCCUGACGCUGAGGAGCGAAAGCGUGGGGAGCGAACAGGCUUAGAUACCCUGGUAGUCCACGCUGUAAACGGUGGGUACUAGGUGUGGGGUCCAUUCCACGGGUUCCGUGCCGUAGCUAACGCCUUAAGUACCCCGCCUGGGGAGUACGGCCGCAAGGCUAAAACUCAAAGGAAUUGACGGGGCCCCGCACAAGCGGCGGAGCAUGCGGAUUAAUUCGAUGCAACGCGUAGAACCUUACCUGGGUUUGACAUGGAUCGGGAGUGCUCAGAGAUGGGUGUGCCUCUUUUGGGGUCGGUUCACAGGUGGUGCAUGGCUGUCGUCAGCUCGUGUCGUGAGAUGUUGGGUUAAGUCCCGCAACGAGCGCAACCCUUGUUCACUGUUGCCAGCACGUUAUGGUGGGGACUCAGUGGAGACCGCCGGGGUCAACUCGGAGGAAGGUGGGGAUGACGUCAAGUCAUCAUGCCCCUUAUGUCCAGGGCUUCACGCAUGCUACAAUGGCUGGUACAGAGAGUGGCGAGCCUGUGAGGGUGAGCGAAUCUCGGAAAGCCGGUCUCAGUUCGGAUUGGGGUCUGCAACUCGACCUCACGAAGUCGGAGUCGCUAGUAAUCGCAGAUCAGCAACGCUGCGGUGAAUACGUUCCCGGGGCU